GGAGAGGUGGCCGAGUGGUCGAAGGCACGCCCCUGCUAAGGGCGCAGACCUCUAAAGGGUCUCGAGGGUUCGAAUCCCUUCCUCUCCGCCA
Molecule: transfer RNA, 91 nt
Filed under: Devosia sp.
Lineage: Bacteria; Pseudomonadati; Pseudomonadota; Alphaproteobacteria; Hyphomicrobiales; Devosiaceae
Also listed under: 2 other names
Description: tRNA-Ser
Rfam family: tRNA
About the family: Transfer RNA (tRNA) molecules are approximately 80 nucleotides in length. Their secondary structure includes four short double-helical elements and three loops (D, anti-codon, and T loops).
Source: RNAcentral